Molecule: ribosomal RNA, 484 nt
Filed under: uncultured Desulfobulbus sp.
Lineage: Bacteria; Pseudomonadati; Thermodesulfobacteriota; Desulfobulbia; Desulfobulbales; Desulfobulbaceae
Description: bacterial SSU rRNA
Rfam family: Bacterial small subunit ribosomal RNA
Source: RNAcentral
AAAUGAAUUGACGGGGCCCGCACAAGCGGUGGAGUAUGUGGUUUAAUUCGAUGCAACGCGAAGAACCUUACCUGGUCUUGACAUCCCGGAGACCCUUAGGAAACUAGGGGGUGCUUCCAUCUGGAAGAAUCUGGAGACAGGUGCUGCAUGGCUGUCGUCAGCUCGUGUCGUGAGAUGUUGGGUUAAGUCCCGCAACGAGCGCAACCCUUGCCUUUAGUUGCCAGCAGUUCGGCUGGGCACUCUAAAGGGACUGCCGGUGUUAAACCGGAGGAAGGUGGGGAUGACGUCAAGUCCUCAUGGCCUUUAUGACCAGGGCUACACACGUACUACAAUGGCCGAUACAAAGGGCAGCGACACUGCGAGGUGAAGCCAAUCCCGUAAAAUCGGUCUCAGUCCGGAUUGGAGUCUGCAACUCGACUCCAUGAAGUUGGAAUCGCUAGUAAUCGUGGAUCAGCAUGCCACGGUGAAUACGUUCCCGGGCCUU